GACUGUACUGCAUCAAAUGCUCUUUCGAGGUUCGUGAUGGGAAUGUUUGUCGCUAGUGUUUGUCGUCGCUCAGCUCGAGUAGCAUUGCGCAUCCUUCUUUGGUUCCUUUGAUCGGAAGUUUCGUCUUGUGGGGCGUUGGCUGUUGACUCGUCCUCUGAGAUAUUGUCGAGUUGUGCUAAUCGCCUAGGGGUUCUCUGUUGGCUAGUACCCG
Molecule: long non-coding RNA, 211 nt
Filed under: Setaria viridis
Lineage: Eukaryota; Viridiplantae; Streptophyta; Magnoliopsida; Poales; Poaceae
Description: long non-coding RNA (SVIR_LNC007851)
Source: RNAcentral